Non-coding RNA from Acanthosepion pharaonis, 98 nucleotides. The record is from the annotation of a GenBank genome assembly. NCBI's taxonomy places the organism in Eukaryota, Metazoa, Mollusca, Cephalopoda, Sepiida, Sepiidae.
UUGAAAUACUGGUUCCUGUACAAUCACUGAAAUUAAGCAACAUUGAACCUUAUCAGUACCUAGAUAGGUGACCGCUUGGGAAUACCAGGUGCUGUAAG